UGCAUAGGCGGACUAAUAAGUCAGUGGUGAAAUCUCUCGGCUCAACCGGGAAACUGCCAUUGAUACUGUUAGUCUUGAGUUCGGUUGAGGUAGGCGGAAUGUGUAAUGUAGCGGUGAAAUGCUUAGAUAUUACACAGAACACCAAUUGCGUAGGCAGCUUACUAGACCGACACUGACGCUGAGGCACGAAAGCGUGGGUAGCGAACAGGAUUAGAUACCCUGGUAGUC
RNAcentral lists this ribosomal RNA (228 nucleotides) under uncultured bacterium. Its description in RNAcentral is "partial 16S ribosomal RNA". It matches the Rfam family "Bacterial small subunit ribosomal RNA", at positions 568 to 795 of the family's 1533-position model. The record is from RNAcentral.